GAUGAAGAACGUAGCGAAAUGCGAUAAGUAAUGUGAAUUGCAGAAUUCAGUGAAUCAUCGAAUCUUUGAACACACAUUGCGCCCGCUAGUAUUCUGGCGGGCAUGCCUGUCCGAGCGUCAUUUCAACCCUCAAGCCCCCGGGCUUGGUGUUGGGGAUCGGCGAGCCUCCGCGCCCGCCGUCCCCUAAAUCUAGUGGCGGUCUCGCUGUAGCUUCCUCUGCGUAGUAGCACACCUCGCACUGGGAAACAGCGCGGCCACGCCGUUAAACCCCCAACUUCUGAACGUUUGACCUCGGAUCAGGUAGGAAUACCCGCUGAACUUAAGCAUAUCAAUAAGCGGAGGA
This 343-nucleotide unclassified non-coding RNA is filed under the name soil metagenome. Its description in RNAcentral is "partial contains 5.8S ribosomal RNA, internal transcribed spacer 2, and large subunit ribosomal RNA". The stretch from base 1 to 120 matches the Rfam family "5.8S ribosomal RNA", at positions 35 to 154 of the family's 154-position model. The record is from RNAcentral.